UGGGGAAUAUUGGACAAUGGGCGCAAGCCUGAUCCAGCCAUGCCGCGUGAGUGAUGAAGGCCUUAGGGUUGUAAAGCUCUUUCGCCGACGAAGAUAAUGACGGUAGUCGGAGAAGAAGCCCCGGCUAACUUCGUGCCAGCAGCCGCGGUAAUACGAAGGGGGCUAGCGUUGUUCGGAAUCACUGGGCGUAAAGCGCACGUAGGCGGAUUGUUAAGUCAGGGGUGAAAGCCUGGAGCUCAACUCCAGAACUGCCCUUGAUACUGGCAAUCUCGAGUCCGGAAGAGGUAAGUGGAACUGCGAGUGUAGAGGUGAAAUUCGUAGAUAUUCGCAAGAACACCAGUGGCGAAGGCGGCUUACUGGUCCGGUACUGACGCUGAGGUGCGAAAAGCGUGGGGAGCAAAACAGGAUUAGAUACCCUGGUAGUCCACGCCGUAAAACGAUGGAGGCUAGCCGUUGGCGAGCAUGCUCGUCAGUGGCGCAGCUAACGCAUUAAGCCUCCCGCCUGGGGAGUACGGUCGCAAGAUUAAAACUCAAAGGAAUUGACGGGGUCAUAGCUG
Molecule: ribosomal RNA, 557 nt
Filed under: uncultured bacterium
Lineage: Bacteria
Description: partial 16S ribosomal RNA
Rfam family: Bacterial small subunit ribosomal RNA
Source: RNAcentral